Molecule: long non-coding RNA, 2481 nt
Filed under: Taeniopygia guttata (zebra finch)
Lineage: Eukaryota; Metazoa; Chordata; Aves; Passeriformes; Estrildidae
Description: lncRNA (ENSTGUG00000023663.1)
Source: RNAcentral
CUCCAGGCACCUCUCCCUGCUCCCUGGGUUUCUCCAUGGGUGUUUUUGAGCCCCCACCUGGACUUCUGGGCGCCCCAGGACCCUCCUGGUGACUUUCCCUGUGCCCCAGUUCCCUCUGUCUGGCUUGCAGAGCAUCUCCUGGGGACCUGGCCCUGCCUCUCAUCCCACAGGGAGGGAGGAGGCAGAGGAGGGCAGCUGGGUGGGCUCCCCGAGCUCUCCCCAGUACCAGCAUGGCCCACAUGGCAGGAGGGGACCCCACUGUCACCUGGGUGCAGGGACAGGUCCAGAAGCAGAGGCGUGGGGACCUGAGCUUUGUGCACAACCCUGAUGAGAGCAACUCGUGUAAGGCAGAAGGCAGUGCUGAGGGACACACACCUUGCUGGGAAAGCAGCCGGGGUUAUCCAGGGGUGCUGAAGCAGGAGGCUGGAGCAGGGGGCCUCCCUGUGGAGAGAGGCACAAGGCAGCAAGCAGAACCUCCUGGAAGGUCCUGCCCACCUCACUUCAAGCCACAAAAUAACCUCCCUGUGCCAGCAUCACUGCUCAACCCCCGUGGUGCUUCUCCAACAGCGUCAGCAGAGGGUGGGGAGAGGGGUCUGGGGUGCUGAACUACAGAAUCAACUUUUGUGCAUCUGAGAGCAAACACCUCCCGGGGAGCAGACGGCAGCCUGGCUGCCAGGAUCCCCCAGCUCCCGGGACUGCAGGCAGAGGGAACGAGUCCAGCAGCUGCUCGGGGACUGUGGCCACAAGUCCUGGGUGGUUUGCAGGACUUGAGUCACCAGGAAGGGAAAGGCUGCCCGGCAGAGCCCGGCUGCUCACACCACGCAAACUGCCCACCAAAAGGCAAGUGCCAAGGUCUUAGUGCCACAGCAGCGGGGCAGGACGGUCCCUUUUCCUCUGGGAAGCUGGUUGAGAACACAUCAGCUGAGCUGUGGCUGUCGGACAGGCAGGGAGGGAGAGGAGGAACACCAGAGGUGCGAGGAGUCCCCGUGUCCAGGUGCGCUGCUGGAGCCACCCUCGCACCGCGCAGGGGCUGGGAGGAGGAGGAGGAAGGCCGGGAGGAAGGGGAGGAGCACCAGGCGGGCUGGCUGCAGUUCGAGCUGCUCGGACCCCUUCACAACUUCUGGAUCUUCUCGGCGAUAACGAUGGGGUUUUCCUUGCGGAUCUUCUCGGCAGCUUCUGCCUUGUAGUCGUAGGGGCAGGCGUGCAUGUCGGAGUACCGGUGAAUGGCACAGAACAGGUUCCCGCAGCGGCAGUCGAAGCCUGAGGGGAGGAAGAGCACGGACAAAGCCACAUCAGACCCCAUCCAGCGGAGCAGGAAGGCGGCAGGGCCUGGCUCCGGGCAAGGGAGGGGGCCUGCUGCUCCCCACAGGCCAAAGGGAUUCUUCAUUUGGGGAAGACCAUGGGUGGCUCUUUGCUCUCCUCUGGCUCAGGAGCUCUGUGUGCUUUGGGCAGCCCCAGCUGUCAUGCGGGAAAUGCUCCCAGAGCAGCUGCUGUCCGUGCUCCCCGGGGACAAGGGAUCUGCCAGGCACUGCAGAGUGCCAGAUUGCUAAUCCACACCAGGCUCCCCAGGCAGCCCGAGCUGCAGCUCAGCCCUGUGAGCCAGUCCAGCUCCCCAGGGUCACACAGCAGCAGCUGGACUGACCAGCAGCAAGCAGCAGAGCUGUCACCACCUUAGGAUCAUGUUUGAGCUGUUUAGGCUUCAAAACUCCCACUUUAGUUACUCCACUCUGAGACAAUGCUCAGAGUGCUACCAUUAACACAGCACACUGGGAAAGCAAGGCAGGGAGUGAGCAGGGGGUGUGCUGCAGGACAGCAGGGAAUCAUGCUCUGUCCCUUCACUUUUUUCUAACUACAGGCUGUAAAGUCCACAAACACCUUGCUCCAAGGUGCCAGUUUACUCCUGGUUGAGAAAACUCAUUUUAUCCUAAUUGCCCUGAAUUCACAGGAGUUCUCUGUAAGUUGAAUCCUAAAGAAGAGAACUUCUCAUAGUUUAAAGCUUGUAAGGAAACCCUCAUUCAGGAAAACAAUCCUCUCUGCACCCAGAUCCACAUUUAUAAACCCACCCCCUAUUCUAGGACAGUGUCCAUGGAUUUCCAGGCAAGCUCAGGUUCAAACUUUCCAGUCUAGACUUUGCCAAAGCCUCUUAUAGCCAUGAAAACAGCCAGUCCCUGGCUGCUGGAUGCCCCAAGCAGGCUACAAAACCAAGUGCUCUGCCAGAACAGCAUGACCUGCACAGCUCCAGAGUUAACUUUUUUCCAGAGAAGUACUAAAUGCCAGAGAUAAUGUUUUUAUUAGCAAACCACAGCCAAAUUAAUUGCUUCACUUUCCAGAAGCUGUUUUGCCAUUGAUAGCAGUGCCCUGACAGCACUUCUCUCUUCAGCUUUACAGGCUGCACGCUGAGAGCCAUCCUGCUCUCAGGAAGCUAACAGUGGAAAUCAGGCAGCAUUAACAAAGGGGAUGAGUCUUGGAGAGGGAUUUUCC